GGUGGCUGAAGUUGAAGUUUUUGACUUUUCAAUAUCACCACCAGCAAUUACUAAAUACGAUCGAAACGUGAUUGCAAUCAGAAAAUAAGUUAAAAUUCAUUCACUGAAUAGUUAUUUUUGUUUAAUAAAAAAAUCUGUUGCGUUAUAUAUGGUUUCUUUAACCGGAAGACGGCUUCUGUCUGUCGAUAAGGUAGAAUCAGAAAGAACUAACUCAGAGUAUUAAAAAAACAAGAAAAAAGCAAUUCCGGCUUAUCAAACGAAUCGAUUCUGUAAAAAUAUCACAAAGUUGACAUUUACUGGAUUGAAGGUCUUUUCUUACUGCCGAAGCGAAUGUUUAUUUCCCUUUCUCAUUUUGAAGAGCACCUGCACUGUCUUGUGCUAUGCGACUAACAGGUCCAAGGUUUUUCUCUAUUUAUAUAGCUAUGAUAUUAUAAUUUCAAAUACCAUGUUGCCUUUUGGAACAGUUUUAUUAAAAGCGUUUUAUCACAAUAUAUUAGCAGAGAAAACUAUAGUAAAUUUCUACGAACAUUUUCAC
Molecule: non-coding RNA, 535 nt
Organism: Schizosaccharomyces pombe (fission yeast)
Lineage: Eukaryota; Fungi; Ascomycota; Schizosaccharomycetes; Schizosaccharomycetales; Schizosaccharomycetaceae
Source: the annotation of a GenBank genome assembly